UAGCUUCAAACCUCAAACUCGCACAACUUUGCAUCUUUAUUCAGGUGUUAAUCUGGAAUAAGUAAUUGAUUUAACGGUUAUGAAACCAGGACUUUAGUAUCAAUUGAUGCUGUAAGAGAUGCUGGUUACAGUUAGCAGGACAAACUGGGAGGUGAAGUAGUGUCAUAUUAUGUUAUGCUUUCUUGGUCAUUAUGACUGAGACUUGAUUUCAGUUUCAACAAUAUCCAUCUAUAAAUCCAAAUGCCUUUUAUCUGAACAAACAAACUACAGGCUUUUUUUUUGUCUGUGGUGGCAGUCUGUCUGUCGACUCAUUUUGGAUGUAUCGACACUUUUAAACAUCCAAUUGAGUUUUUAAACUGUUCUCCUUAAGUUUUGUUGCGGUAUAUAUGAGAAGUUUAUUUGCUAUGUAGUGUGUGAAUGAAUAGAUGGUGUAAUUUCUCUAAUCCAGAUUACGUCUGUGUUAUUCUAUAAACUGUACAAAUAUACAUGUUUUUGUUAAUGUGCAUACCUGGAUUCAUGAGUUACUGGCAUAUGAAUUGUAAUUUACUAGUGCAGUUAAUCAUAUCGAAGUAAUUUCAAAGCAGUCUGGUGGUGUUUAUUAGAUUAUAGACACUUUCAGGUAAAAUUCCCACUAAGUUUUACAUUUAUUUGAGCAUAUCAGCAUCAGUAACUAACUGUGGGAUGUUGCUAUUUCCUUCAGAUGAACGUUUGGCUAAUGUUCACAUGGGCUUCAGGAUACUAUGUGACUAUCAGGCACCUGAUUCUUGGGAUCAGGUGCAUUAGACAGGUGAAAUCUCCUCACACAGUUUGUGCCUGCCAUCACGAUUACAUAACAUUGGCUAGUGUUUCUAUAAUAGGCUCUGUAAAUCUGACGAGAAUAAUCACACUAGCACCAGAACCCUCUGAUGGGGUGAAAAUGGCCACGUCUGGAACAUUUGGACUGCCUUGUGUCAGUCCUGAUGUACACUGUUUUACAAAUAUUUCUUCAUGUAGACAUGGGUCUACCCUGUGUGACCUUCUCUGGGAAAGCAAGGGUUUGUCUUACAGGCUGGUAAUUCUUAAAUCCUUGAUUUGAAAGGACAGGGAUUUGCUGCCUUAUGCUCCUCACAUCCAACUGCUUUGAGGCAAAGCUGUGGAAAAUGA
Molecule: long non-coding RNA, 1143 nt
Organism: Sinocyclocheilus anshuiensis
Lineage: Eukaryota; Metazoa; Chordata; Actinopteri; Cypriniformes; Cyprinidae
Exons: 2
Source: RefSeq, a predicted model, not a curated record